AAGUCGUAACAAGGUUUCCGUAGGUGAACCUGCGGAAGGAUCAUUAGCACUUGUUGUGGUGGGCUAUCUAAGCGGUAUCUCACCCGUAAACACCUGUGAGCACUGAAAUGAUUUGUGAAUGGAGGAGUGGAGACGGCUUAGGCCUUCGGCCUGCGCUGGUUGAAGCUUGUUCCUUUUUUACUUUUUUAAACCCCAACAACCUAUCUUUAACAAUUACAAAGACUGAACUGUCUCCUGCCACAAACAAGAGACAACCUUGAUAUUCUAACCAAAGAAACAAUUCUUAGCAACGGAUAUCUUGGUUCCC
This 307-nucleotide unclassified non-coding RNA is filed under the name fungal sp. Its description in RNAcentral is "partial internal transcribed spacer region". The stretch from base 1 to 46 matches the Rfam family "Eukaryotic small subunit ribosomal RNA", at positions 1786 to 1831 of the family's 1831-position model. The record is from RNAcentral. Lineage: Eukaryota; Fungi.